AUUGAACGCUGGCGGCAUGCUUUACACAUGCAAGUCGAACGGCAGCACGGGGGCAACCCUGGUGGCGAGUGGCGAACGGGUGAGUAACACAUCGGAACGUGCCCAGUUGUGGGGGAUAACCUAUCGAAAGGUAGGCUAAUACCGCAUGAGCUCGGCAAGAGGAAAGCGGGGGACUCAGCGAUGGGCCUCCGCGCGGACUGGAGCGGCCGAUGUCCGAUUAGCUAGNGGUGGGGUAAGGCUUACCAAGGCGACGAUCGGUAGCUGUCUGAGAGGAUGAUCAGCCACACUGGGACUGAGACACGGCCCAGACUCCUACGGGAGGCAGCAGUGGGAAUCUUGCGCAAUGGGCGAAAGCCUGACGCAGCGACGCCGCGUG
RNAcentral lists this ribosomal RNA (376 nucleotides) under uncultured bacterium. RNAcentral's name for it is "bacterial SSU rRNA". It matches the Rfam family "Bacterial small subunit ribosomal RNA", at positions 29 to 403 of the family's 1533-position model. The record is from RNAcentral.